AGAAUCAACGCUGGCGGUGUGCCUAACACAUGCAAGUCGAACGAGAAAGGGGUAGCAAUACCCUGAGUAAAGUGGCGCACGGGUGAGUAACACGUGACUAACCUACCCUUGAGGUGGGGAUAACUGAGGGAAACCUUAGCUAAUACCGCAUAAUACCCACGGGUCAAAGGAGCAAUUCGCUCGAGGAGGGGUCGCGGCCGAUUAGUUAGUUGGCGGGGUAAUGGCCCACCAAGACGAUGAUCGGUAU
RNAcentral lists this ribosomal RNA (247 nucleotides) under uncultured bacterium. Its description in RNAcentral is "partial small subunit ribosomal RNA". It matches the Rfam family "Bacterial small subunit ribosomal RNA", at positions 26 to 286 of the family's 1533-position model. The record is from RNAcentral.